GACGAACGCUGGCGGCGUGCUUAACACAUGCAAGUCGAGCGGUAAGGCCCUUUCGGGGGUACGACGAGCGGCGAACGGGUGAGUAACACGUGGGUGACCUGCCCUUACGCUCUGGGAUAAGACCUGGGAAACGUGGGUCUAAUACCGGAUAUGACUCCAUGACGCAUGUUGUGGGGUGGAAAGCCUUGUGCGGCUAGGGA
RNAcentral lists this ribosomal RNA (200 nucleotides) under uncultured bacterium. RNAcentral describes it as "partial 16S ribosomal RNA". It matches the Rfam family "Bacterial small subunit ribosomal RNA", at positions 28 to 225 of the family's 1533-position model. The record is from RNAcentral.